GAAUAAUCAGGAUUAUUUUUAUUAAUUCAUCUUCAGGUUCAAUAAUAUUACAGAAAAACAUCCUCUUCAUUAUAUUUAUACAGUAGUAGUAGAAUGCUGUGUCAUUGCUUCAUUACAAGUGCUGGUCAUAGUUUAUAGUGUGUGCAGUGUGACACUGAGUUCAGCCCAGUGUUACGAAUCACUCGGUACAAAGGCAGUUUCUCAACAACCUGCUUCUGCUCGCUCUGAUGAAUCUAUCUGGGUUUGAUUGGUCCUCCUUGGGCAGGCGGCAGGACACGCACUGAUGCUGCGUUUGUGCCGUAAACGCGAGCCGCCGUAAACGCGAGCCGCCAAACGGCAAGCGAGGAAAUGCUCAUAUUUACUAUUUUAGGAAUUUCUCUGAACGAACAGCCAUUUGUCAUCGCGCCAUUCCCGUGUGACACGGACGCAGCACGAGCCACUCACAUAUAUGCUGUAUAUAUACGGUGCAUUUGAGGUAACUGGGAAGUUUCUGGAAACCAAGCCAGAGCACUUAAAGACAGUGUUGGCACCAGAGCAUCAGUGUCACGUUUAAUCAGAUCAGAGGACCCGCCCAGGCGCUGCACCCCACUCUCACGCCUGGAAUCACACCUGCCCAAAGAGAAAGACACGCCCCCUUUUUUUAUGGGCAUGCAGGUGUGACAAGAAGGAGGGGGAAAGAGGGAUGGGUCAGAGCUCAGGACAAAGAGCCGCGCUGCAUUCAGGACGCCGUGUCAGUACCGUUAAAAUCAGACAGAGCAGUUACUCCAGUAUGACCUGAAUGCAGCGCCUGACCUUUGACCUGUGGGUUUGGUUGAUCAUAUUUAAAUCAGGUUUUCCACUGACGUGGUGCCGGCUCUUGGUUGGUUUUGGGAGUCGAGGUGAAGAGCCUCACAGGAAGAAGUUACAGAGCUGGUUCUGCCUGGGUUCUCUCCCAGAACAGGCUGAGAACCAACCACCGCUGUGAGCUGCCUCGGCCAAUCAUUGGUGACCUCUCUGAGUCCAACCGUGGGCUACAAUGUUUGGAAAACUGUCAUUUCAGUGGAAAGUCAAUAACCUGCUUCUAGAUUUAGCAGCAGUACCACACCAGUGGAAAAGAAGUCCCAGCAGGAAGAAUCGGAUCCAUUUUCCCACAAACGCAGCGCCAGAACAUUAGGUAGCACAAGCCGGCGUAAUGUCUGUGGUAAGAAGAGAAAUUUCGUGCAGUUCCCACUCCCACCAUCGAUCCAUGAAUCCAACUACGGGACAACCCGGAAAGGACCCGGGUCUGGGUGAGGCAGCGGCACUGAGUUGUUGGAAAAAGGUGGUAACAGGAUGAGUUGUCCACUUGAUUUCCAAAGCAGAGCUGUUGGUGUGGGUGCAGCAGACCAGACUCAGUCUCACAGGCCGGAAUGCCAAGCAUCACAAAUGGAAAUGGGCGCUUUGGGACCGCUGAUUUUGAGGUGCCAGUGGUUUUGUGGCACUUUUUAUUUGUUAACAUCUGAUGAAGUAGCACCCCGGUACCACAUCGAUGGAAAAUGGGUCAAAGUAGGAAGAACCGUGUUCCCAUUUUACCACCAACAUGGACUCUGGGAAAUUUGGGAAAAUAUGAGCUGGUUAUCGAUUAUACAUCACACACACACCGCGCUGCAGGAAAACAGGUUAAACGGGAAGGAUGAGAGGAAGUGGGCAGUUUGCGUUGGAGCUCUCAGAUCUCACAGGACGCUUCUGGUUGUCGGUAACCGGUAAACAUUUAUCAGCAGGAUCUACGGCCAGCAGCUCAGAUGCUUCUGCGUUUGUAGUCGGCGAACUAUCAAAGGAGGGUUUCUGCACGCUCAUACAGUACGCGGAGAGAACGGCGGUCAGAUGACGUUUUGAUUUACAGCCUCGAACCGACCAUAACGAGCACCUUAACACCGUCAUGGCAAAAAUACACGUGGUGUAGUUACGAGCACCUGAAUGUGACACCCUGCCUUCAAGUGAUGCAAGCAGAUGGGAAAACCGUGAAUCGCGUCUGUGCUCCGAACUCGCCGAAGCAGUUGGUUCCUGCACAUGUGGUCGUGGGUAAAAAUCUGAAUAAAGACUCCUGAUUGGACAGCCUGAUCAGAGCGAGUGAAAGGACAAAUCCCACACCCAGAACUCCAGACGCAAAUGUGGAUUAAUCAUGUAAUCGCGCCCGUCACACGGGUGAUCCCAGAGGUUAACAUAAACGUCUUCCUGCUGUAAACGUCACACUCUGGUCGAACACCACUUGAACGCAGGGUUGGACCGAACCGCCAGCGUGGCGCAGCUUUGAUACGACCGCGAUCAGAGACGUCUUUAUCGCGUUUAUAUCGGAGCGGAGAAAUCGCUCGGCGCCCCAAAGACGAGCCGCUGACCCACCGAGGACGAUUUCAUGGCUUCGCUGAGACGUCUCCAGAUGUUUGAGAGGGUUAAAUCUGCAGAAAGGUAAAAAAGGAACACCAGAGGACGCCUGCAGUUUGUUCUCUUUUCUUUUUUCAUUGUUUGGCAGAAAAUAUUCAGUGGCACAAACAACGUGAGCAGCUUCACUCGGAGGACGUCUUCAUCAGCCGUGUUUUGCUGAUGUUUGGAGUCUGUGUGAUCCAGGAGGAGACGCAGUGAAACGGCAGGAAGUUUCUAUAGCAGGAGAGAGGACGCCAGAGCAGAGCAAGGGUAGAAAAAGGAGGAGGGUCUCUAUGUCUCUAAUCUAUCCGGGAAAAACGCACAAAGCAAAUGAAGAGGAGAGAAGAGGGCAUGAAUACUACUAAGAUGAUGAUAUUGUCAGAACCAUGAUAAUAAUAAAUAGAAUAUUAAUAAUCAUUAUCAUCAGGAUAAUAAUAAUAUUACAGAAUAAAUCUCAUAUUUCGUAUAUUUUUUCACAUUUUUUUUCUCCUUUGAAAUACAGUGAUCUCCUCAGAGCAGACCAAUGAGGACUCAGCCUGCGCUGGCUCCGAUUGGCUGUUGCAUAUGACAUCACAGCUAAUGGCGACCAGGUAGACAUGCACCGGUUCC
This is a long non-coding RNA of Oreochromis aureus, 2988 nucleotides long. The record is from Ensembl. NCBI's taxonomy places the organism in Eukaryota, Metazoa, Chordata, Actinopteri, Cichliformes, Cichlidae.